AGCAGCCGCGGUAAUUCCAGCUCCAAUAGCGUAUAUUAAAGUUGUUGCAGUUAAAAAGCUCGUAGUUGAAUUUCGGGGUCAGUAGAUUGGUCGUGCCACUGGUAUGUACUGGUCUUACUGGCUCCUCCUUCCUGAUGAACCGUAAUGCCAUUAAUUUGGUGUUGCGGGGAGACUGGACUGUUACUUUGAAAAAAUUAGAGUGUUUAAAGCAGGCUAACGCUUGAAUACAUUAGCAUGGAAUAAUGAAAUAGGACGUUCGAUCUUAUUUUGUUGGUUUCUAAGAUUGACGUAAUGAUUAAUAGGGAUAGUUGGGGGCAUUAGUAUUCAAUUGUCAGAGGUGAAAUUCUUGGAUUUAUUGAAGACUAACUACUGCGAAAGCAUUUGCCAAGGAUGUUUUCAUUAAUCAAGAACGAAAGUUAGGGGAUCGAAGACGAUCAGAUACCGUCGUAGUCUUAACCAUAAACUAUGCCGACUAGGGAUCGGAUGAUGUAAUUUUUAAUGACU
RNAcentral lists this small RNA (504 nucleotides) under uncultured Glomus. Its description in RNAcentral is "SSU rRNA". It matches the Rfam family "Eukaryotic small subunit ribosomal RNA", at positions 569 to 1076 of the family's 1831-position model. The record is from RNAcentral. Lineage: Eukaryota; Fungi; Glomeromycota; Glomeromycetes; Glomerales; Glomeraceae.